Molecule: long non-coding RNA, 1242 nt
Filed under: Serinus canaria (Common canary)
Lineage: Eukaryota; Metazoa; Chordata; Aves; Passeriformes; Fringillidae
Description: lncRNA (ENSSCAG00000005098.1)
Source: RNAcentral
CGCAGAGGGAAGGGGAGUGGGAAAGGGAGAGCGGGGAGACUGCGGAGGGGAGAGCGCGGCACCGGGAGUGGGCUCCGGGGACAGACAGGGAAGUGUCAUCAUUAUUCUCGCUGUGCCGACAGAUCUGGGGUCUUUGCCUAGAGCAAUCCAGCAGCACCAGCACCGAAAUCCUGGUUCCUUGUUCCCAUCCCAGCUCUUGGAAGGAUCCUGGUAAUAAUAAUCAUGCAAACAGGCUUUGCUGAGGGAGAUGAUUUCAGGAACGGUGAUAGCUGGGAGACAGUGAUGGAGCCACACUUGUCACAUGAAUAACCACAGUCUGUCCAGUCAGAGCUGACAGUCUAAGGCAAGGCAGCUCCUUCUGUGCUGAUUUAAGAGGCUCUUCGUAGACACAGCAGAUCUUUCUGCUUCACCUCCCCUGCAUAAUAAGAAGCAGCAUCCUUCCUGUUAGUUUAUCUGCCUUUGGAUGGGAUGUGAGGCUGGCAGACCCCUCUGGGCACGGGGGAACCCUGGAAGGAAGUGAAGGCUUUUAACUUUCUGCAUGAGUGCAGUGAGAUUGUGGGUUGUAGUUUCAGUGCCUCUAAACCUGGCACUCAGGGAGGAGUUCCCAGCUGAGUAAAUCUUUACAUGAUCUUCAGAAACGUUAUCAAGGAGGGACACACAGAGAGGGACAAGGUGCUCCACUGGGAUGGAUGGAUUUACAGGGGGCUCCUGAGGUUAUAGAUACCCCUCAACAAUGAGAGAUGUUAAAAAGCAAAAUGCCCCUACUUUUUUAAAAUAGAAACCUUUUUUUCCCCUGCAUAAUCCAGCCAGAAGAUUCCCCCAAUUCCAGGUCCUGGGUGAGGCAGCCAUGGCAGUGCUGAGUGAGGGAUGCUGAGGAGAAGAUGUAAUUCUGAAGGGAGAAUCAUAGAAUAAGCUGAGAUGGAAGGAACCCAUUAGGAACAUCAAGUCCAACUCCUGGUCUUACGUGGCCUUAUGCAGGACACCCCAUGAAUGCCACCAUGUGCCUGAGAGUGUUACCCAAACAUUGAGGGAAUCAGGGCGCUGACGGGAAAAUGGGAGCGCUGAGGGGAGCCAUGUGUUGAGAGGAGCCAAGGGCGCUGAGGGGAAAUGGGGAGCUGAAGGGAGACAGGGGUGUUUAGGGGACAUGGGGGCACUGAGGGGAGCAGGGAUUGCUGAUGAAACCGGGAACCUGAGGAGAGUUGGACGCUGAGAGGAAAAAUGGCGCUGAGGGGAGCCAGGGGC